Molecule: non-coding RNA, 553 nt
Organism: Salmo salar (Atlantic salmon)
Lineage: Eukaryota; Metazoa; Chordata; Actinopteri; Salmoniformes; Salmonidae
Source: RefSeq, a predicted model, not a curated record
GGAGGUCUGAACAAAGGAUCCGCUUCGGGAAAGACGUAUUCCUGGUCGUAAUGAUGGACCUGAAGCGAGCGAGGCGACCAUCUGUCGGCGCCUGCUGAUUCUCCUCAGAGACAUGAAGGAAGAGGAAGGGGACAAUGCUGUGAAGGCAUGCUGUGAGGGAGAUGUGGGGCGUUCCAGUACCAGCGGGUGACAGUUACUCCCCUGAACCAGCAGAACAAGACCAGCUAAUUCACAUUGACUCCAGGCUGCAACUGCGCUUCCUGUUCAAUAUUUCCUGUCUGUGUGUCCGAAGCCCCUACUGACCACAGCCUUCCCCAGACCCAGGUACUGUACAGCCCAACUGUCUACUGCCUAAUAGGUCUGGAUGCCAUCAACAAGUCAAAACACCAUCUACGCCUGUAAAGAGUCAAGGUCAUUAAUAACUUCUUCAGGAUCGGUGGGUCCCCUGCGGGACUGUUGAGCUAACGUGGGCUAAUGCGAUUAGCAUGAGGUUGUAAGUAACAAGAACAUUUCCCAGAACAUAGACACAGUUGAAGUCGGAAGUUUACAUACA